GUUUCGUCAGGAAACGUUUAAGGUUAGUUGAAAACCAAAAUCCACAUUGGAUGGUUGAAAUAUCAAUCCUAUGACAAUUUUCUUGAUGGUUUUACAACUACUUUUUAUUUUUCAGACUCAGAAAAUCCUCUAUAACUUGAGAAAAUCAGAACCACAUGUUCCACUUUGAUAAGCCCACAAUAAAAAAGGAAAAAGGAAACAGAUAGAUUCUGGAGGUCAAACUAGGAAUAUUAGUGACAUUUCAUCAAAGUUGAGAAUACUGAAGAUGAAUGACAUCCUUUCUGUCAAAUUUUGAAUAUUUAGCAGGGUUGGAUCUUUUAAAUAACAUCUAUCCAAACAAUAACAAACUAACCUAUAUGAAAAUGGAAAGUUAAGGAAUGGUGAUAAAACAGAUAAUGUUCUUAUUCUUUUCGGAAAUUCACAAUGAACUAAACUGGUAUCUUGAAUGAGAAAGCAUUCAAAGUAGAUAUUUUUCUGCUGUGCAAGAUCACCGAGUGACUUCAAGUUAUUCAUCCUGAAUGAUUUAAUACAUUUUAUAAUGUUUUGGCUUACGAGAGCGCUAUUAAAGUUAUGAGUCAACUAGGA
Molecule: long non-coding RNA, 585 nt
Filed under: Leptinotarsa decemlineata (Colorado potato beetle)
Lineage: Eukaryota; Metazoa; Arthropoda; Insecta; Coleoptera; Chrysomelidae
Description: uncharacterized LOC111514685, transcript variant X1
Source: RNAcentral